RNAcentral lists this ribosomal RNA (834 nucleotides) under archaeon enrichment culture. RNAcentral's name for it is "bacterial SSU rRNA". It matches the Rfam family "Archaeal small subunit ribosomal RNA", at positions 20 to 859 of the family's 1478-position model. The record is from RNAcentral.
GCGGCCACUGCUAUCAAGUUCCGACUAAGCCAUGCGAGUCAAGGUAUCGUAAGAUGCCGGCAAACUGCUCAGUAACACGUGGAUAAUCUAACCUUGAGUAAGGGAUAACUUCGGGAAACUGAAGGUAAUACCUUAUAAUUGCUUAAAACUGGAAUGUUUUUGCAAUAAAAGUUACGACGCUCAAGGAUGAGUCUGCGACCUAUCAGGUAGUAGGUGGUGUAAUGGACCACCUAGCCUCAGACGGGUACGGGCCCUGGGAGGGGUAGCCCGGAGAUGGACUCUGAGACAUAAGUCCAGGCCCUACGGGGCGCAGCAGGCGCGAACACUGUGCAAUGCGCGAAAGCGCGACACGGGGAGCUUGAGUGUCUUGGCAUAGCCAAGACUUUUCUCAUUCCUAAAAAGCAUGAGGAAUAAGUGCUGGGUAAGACGGGUGCCAGCCGCCGCGGUAACACCCGCAGCACGAGUAGUGGUCACUUUUAUUGAGCCUAAAGCGUUCGUAGCCGGUUUUGUAAAUCUUCAGAUAAAGCCUGAAGCUUAACUCCAGAAAGUCUGAAGAGACUGCAAGACUUGAGAUCGGGUGAGGUUAAACGUACUUUCAGGGUAGGGGUAAAAUCCUGCAAUCCCGGAAGGACGACCAGUGGCGAAAGCGUUUAACUAGAACGAAUCUGACGGUAAGGAACGAAGGCUAGGGUAGCAAACCGGAUUAGAUACCCGGGUAGUCCUAGCUGUAAACAUUGCCCAUUUGAUGUUGCUUUUCCGUUGAGGGAAGGCAGUGUCGGAGCGAAGGUGUUAAAUGGGCCGCUUGGGAAGUAUGGUCGCAAGACUGAAACUUAA